This 65-nucleotide transfer RNA is filed under the name Cerastoderma edule. Its description in RNAcentral is "tRNA-Gln". Lineage: Eukaryota; Metazoa; Mollusca; Bivalvia; Cardiida; Cardiidae. The record is from RNAcentral.
UAAAGGAUGGUGUUAUAGCACGUGGCUUUUUGGUGGCCAAUGGGGCAACGAAUUGCCUCCUUUUU